AAGUCGUAACAAGGUUUCCGUAGGUGAACCUGCGGAAGGAUCAUUAGUGAAUAUUAGGGCAUCUGCUUGCAGAGCCCGACCCUCCACUUCUAACACUGUGCAUUAUUUGGUCAUCUGGCAACGUGCUCUCGGGCAUUGCGCUGUUUGGCUUAUUUUACCAUUAAACAUUAGUAUCAGUAUGUAACGAAAUAUCGAAACAAAAAAAAACUUUCAACAACGGAUCUCUUGGCUCUC
This 234-nucleotide unclassified non-coding RNA is filed under the name Microbotryomycetes sp. RNAcentral's name for it is "partial contains small subunit ribosomal RNA, internal transcribed spacer 1, and 5.8S ribosomal RNA". The stretch from base 1 to 46 matches the Rfam family "Eukaryotic small subunit ribosomal RNA", at positions 1786 to 1831 of the family's 1831-position model. Lineage: Eukaryota; Fungi; Basidiomycota; Microbotryomycetes. The record is from RNAcentral.